RNAcentral lists this ribosomal RNA (234 nucleotides) under uncultured Actinomycetales bacterium. Its description in RNAcentral is "partial 16S ribosomal RNA". It matches the Rfam family "Bacterial small subunit ribosomal RNA", at positions 99 to 334 of the family's 1533-position model. The record is from RNAcentral. Lineage: Bacteria; Bacillati; Actinomycetota; Actinomycetes; Actinomycetales.
CGAACGGGUGAGUAACACGUGAGUAACCUGCCCUUGACUUUGGGAUAACUUCAGGAAACUGGGGCUAAUACCGGAUAGGAGCUCCUGCUGCAUGGUGGGGGUUGGAAAGUUUCGGCGGUUGGGGAUGGACUCGCGGCUUAUCAGCUUGUUGGUGGGGUAGUGGCUUACCAAGGCUUUGACGGGUAGCCGGCCUGAGAGGGUGACCGGCCACAUUGGGACUGAGAUACGGCCCAG